AGAGUUCGAUCCUGGCUCAGGAUGAACGCUAGCUACAGGCUUAACACAUGCAAGUCGAGGGGCAGCGGGAAGUUAGCUUGCUAACUUUGCCGGCGACCGGCGCACGGGUGAGUAACGCGUAUCCAACCUUCCCCUUAGUAGGGCAUAGCCCGUAGAAAUGCGGAUUAAUACCCUAUGUUGUAUAUUGAUGACAUCUGAUUUAUACCAAAGGUUCACCGCUAAGGGAUGGGGAUGCGUCUGAUUAGGUAGUCGGCGGGGUAACGGCCCACCGAGCCAACGAUCAGUAGGGGUUCUGAGAGGAAGGUCCCCCACAUUGGAACUGAGCCAUGAUCAAACUC
RNAcentral lists this ribosomal RNA (338 nucleotides) under uncultured Prevotella sp. RNAcentral describes it as "bacterial SSU rRNA". It matches the Rfam family "Bacterial small subunit ribosomal RNA", at positions 8 to 338 of the family's 1533-position model. Lineage: Bacteria; Pseudomonadati; Bacteroidota; Bacteroidia; Bacteroidales; Prevotellaceae. The record is from RNAcentral.